UACAGAGGGCUCAAGCGUUGUUCGGAUUCAUUGGGCGUAAAGGGUGUGUAGGUGGCGCGCUAAGUCGGGUGUGAAAUCUCGGGGCUUAACUCCGAAACUGCAUUCGAUACUGCCGUGCUUGAGGACUGGAGAGGAGACUGGAAUUUACGGUGUAGCGGUGAAAUGCGUAGAUAUCGUAAGGAAGACCAGUGGCGAAGGCGGGUCUCUGGACAGUUACUGACGCUGAGGCACGAAGGCCAGGGGAGCAAACGGG
RNAcentral lists this ribosomal RNA (253 nucleotides) under uncultured bacterium. RNAcentral describes it as "partial 16S ribosomal RNA". It matches the Rfam family "Bacterial small subunit ribosomal RNA", at positions 524 to 776 of the family's 1533-position model. The record is from RNAcentral.